Molecule: ribosomal RNA, 433 nt
Filed under: uncultured bacterium
Lineage: Bacteria
Description: partial 16S ribosomal RNA
Rfam family: Bacterial small subunit ribosomal RNA
Source: RNAcentral
AACGAACGCUGGCGGCAGGCCUAACACAUGCAAGUCGAGCGCGCCCUUCGGGGUGAGCGGCGGAAGGGUGAGUAACGCGUGGGAACGUGCCCUUUUCUACGGAAUAGCCUCGGGAAACUGAGAGUAAUACCGCAUACGCCCUCGGGGGGAAAGAUUUCACGGAAAAGGAUCGGCCCGCGUUGGAUUAGGUAGUUGGUGGGGUAAUGGCCUACCAAGCCGACGAUCCAUAGCUGGUUUGAGAGGAUGAUCAGCCACACUGGGACUGAGACACGGCCCAGACUCCUACGGGAGGCAGCAGUGGGGAAUCUGAGACAAUGGGGGCAACCCUGAUCUAGCCAUGCCGCGUGAGUGAUGAAGGCCUUAGGGUUGUAAAGCUCUUUCAGCUGGGAAGAUAAUGACGGUACCAGCAGAAGAAGCCCCGGCUAACUCCGUG